RNAcentral lists this ribosomal RNA (496 nucleotides) under uncultured bacterium. RNAcentral's name for it is "partial 16S ribosomal RNA". It matches the Rfam family "Bacterial small subunit ribosomal RNA", at positions 28 to 506 of the family's 1533-position model. The record is from RNAcentral.
GAUGAACGCUGGCGGCGUGCCUAAUACAUGCAAGUCGAGCGAACAGACGAGGAGCUUGCUCUUCUGACGUUAGCGGCGGACGGGUGAGUAACACGUGGAUAACCUACCUAUAAGACUGGGAUAACUUCGGGAAACCGGAGCUAAUACCGGAUAAUAUAUUGAACCGCAUGGUUCAAUAGUGAAAGACGGUUUUGCUGUCACUUAUAGAUGGAUCCGCGCCGCAUUAGCUAGUUGGUAAGGUAACGGCUUACCAAGGCAACGAUGCGUAGCCGACCUGAGAGGGUGAUCGGCCACACUGGAACUGAGACACGGUCCAGACUCCUACGGGAGGCAGCAGUAGGGAAUCUUCCGCAAUGGGCGAAAGCCUGACGGAGCAACGCCGCGUGAGUGAUGAAGGUCUUCGGAUCGUAAAACUCUGUUAUUAGGGAAGAACAAAUGUGUAAGUAACUAUGCACGUCUUGACGGUACCUAAUCAGAAAACCACGGCUAACUACGU